RNAcentral lists this ribosomal RNA (468 nucleotides) under uncultured bacterium. RNAcentral describes it as "partial 16S ribosomal RNA". It matches the Rfam family "Bacterial small subunit ribosomal RNA", at positions 28 to 507 of the family's 1533-position model. The record is from RNAcentral.
GACGAACGCUGGCGGCGUGCUUAACACAUGCAAGUCGAACGGAAAGGCCCUGCUUUUGUGGGGUGCUCGAGAGGCGAACGGGUGAGUAACACGUGAGUAACCUGCCCUUGACUUUGGGAUAACUUCAGGAAACUGGGGCUAAUACCGGAUAGGAGCUCCUGCUGCAUGGUGGGGGUUGGAAAGUUUCGGCGGUUGGGGAUGGACUCGCGGCUUAUCAGCUUGUUGGUGGGGUAGUGGCUUACCAAGGCUUUGACGGGUAGCCGGCCUGAGAGGGUGACCGGCCACAUUGGGACUGAGAUACGGCCCAGACUCCUACGGGAGGCAGCAGUGGGGAAUAUUGCACAAUGGGCGGAAGCCUGAUGCAGCAACGCCGCGUGCGGGAUGAAGGCCUUCGGGUUGUAAACCGCUUUCGCCUGUGACGAAGCGUGAGUGACGGUAAUGGGUAAAGAAGCACCGGCUAACUACGUG